This 430-nucleotide ribosomal RNA is filed under the name uncultured Alphaproteobacteria bacterium. RNAcentral describes it as "bacterial SSU rRNA". It matches the Rfam family "Bacterial small subunit ribosomal RNA", at positions 8 to 486 of the family's 1533-position model. Lineage: Bacteria; Pseudomonadati; Pseudomonadota; Alphaproteobacteria. The record is from RNAcentral.
AGAGUUUGAUCCUGGCUCAGAACGAACGCUGGCGGCAGGCCUAACACAUGCAAGUCGAACGAUGCCUUCGGGCAUAGUGGCGCACGGGUGAGUAACACGUGGGAACAUACCUUUUGGUGGGGGAUAACUUCGGGAAACUGAAGCUAAUACCGCAUACGCCCCUUGGGGGAAAGAUUUAUCGCCGAAAGAUUGGCCCGCGUCCGAUUAGCUAGUUGGUGAGGUAAUGGCUCACCAAGGCUCCGAUCGGUAGCUGGUCUGAGAGGAUGACCAGCCACACUGGGACUGAGACACGGCCCAGACUCCUACGGGAGGCAGCAGUGGGGAAUAUUGGACAAUGGGCGCAAGCCUGAUCCAGCCAUGCCGCGUGAGUGAUGAAGGCCUUAGGGUUGUAAAGCUCUUCACCCACGACGAUGAUGACGGUAGUGGAGAG